UGAAAUGUUUAAUGUGUCUUGUGAAUACUGA
This 31-nucleotide non-coding RNA is filed under the name Mus musculus (house mouse). The record is from RNAcentral. Lineage: Eukaryota; Metazoa; Chordata; Mammalia; Rodentia; Muridae.